GAAAAUAGAAACUAAUUAAUACAUCCAGUCAAAUCAAACGACAGCCUAGCUAGCAAUACAUCGAUCCUCUCAUUCUGUCAAUAGCUAUACCGAUUCCAAGAUAGCUUUUCAAAGAUUUUCCAACUUUCAGCUAUCAUGACUUCUCAUUUCCCCAUUUCAAGAGCAAAUCAAUCUGGUUCUUCUCUCCAUCUACCUUCCAGAUCUAUUGUGUUAUGACUCCUCCUUUCUCUAACCAGGUAAGAUGCUUCCGUUUUCUCUAAUGCUCCUUUCACUAGGUUAUUUGCUUGGACAUUCUCCGAUCUAGGAAUAAACUGUAACGUUGCGAUUUUUGGGCCUAGAAGUAUUGGGCCUUGAGUCUGGAAUCGGGUAGAAGACGGCCCGAAUAAUUUGGAUAUUAUUAUUAUUUUUAUUAUUAUUUCGUAUGUUUAGUGUAGUAAUUAAAUAAAUUACGAAGGGUUACGGUGUGUAGAAAAGGUCCAAAGCUCGGCCUAUAGCUUUAGCAAAAUCUUAAAUUUUGCCUCAUAAGGAAAUCUGGGCAUAAGGCCUUAUAAACAAAUUGGGCAAGACUGGGCAUGAAGAAGCGUACCUGGCCUAGUGGUUAGCAUGCUAGGCAGUGGGAAGAAGAGUUGGGGUUCGACUCCCAGCAUGUGCAGAAGUGUUUUAUUUUUCUUUAUAUCAGGGAACAACACAGGGAACUUAUAUAUAGUUGGGGUUAAAAGGUAACACAAAGGGAAGCUCGGUCUAGUGGCAGAGGCGCUGGGAGUGUGGUAUAGUGCCUAGGUUCGAGGGUUGGCGCACGCAAAGGCUUGUUUUUAUUCUAGAAGCCAGGUCACACUAAAAUAAGGUUUAAGAAUAUUUGCGACCGAGUUUUGCUACAAGUACGCUUGUGGCGCAGUGGCAAUAGGGUGCUAGAAGUUCCACAAGGGCAUGGGUUCUAGUCCAGGCGCAGGUAUGUUUUAAGUUUAUAUUUUUAAAAUGAACGAGACUUCAGCAGGUAACCUUUAAGAUAAAAUGUGACGGUAUAUUGUUAAAAGCGAAUGCGCGUCUCAGUAGUUAGCAGCGUGCUGGACAACCUGGAGGUCUCAGGUUCGAGCAGCGUUACGCGCAAGAGAGUGCUUCUUUUUGCUGUACGCACAUGGGAACGGCCGUACGGGAUUGAAACUCUACCAGCAACAGGAGGAGUCGGCUGAGCGGUGGCCUGCUGCUGAGCAGUGAAGAGUUUGAAUUGGGCCAUGAAUUAAGGAGUUAAGGAAGGAAUUAAAAUUAGAAAAGGACUUUUGUGCCUAUUUAAGCACCUAUUCGGGCAUAAGCAUGAGGUGCCGAUUGCUUUUAUUUUGGGGGGCCUUCAUGAGUUAUAUCCUUCUUGGAGGUUUGGGAUAUUUUUUUUAGUGUGGUAGCUAAUUCUCUCCUUUUCUAUUUUCUUUCCUCGAAGUCAAAUUCUAUUUAAAACAAUUUUUUCUUUUCAAAUAUUGGUUGCCGAUUACUCCUUUGGUUGAAACCAUAUCUCAUUUCCUUUUAAUCUUUCAAAAGACCGAACCUCUAAUCUUACAUCUCUUCCUCUACUGAUUGUCUCUUCGAUGGUAAACUUAUCGUCACCUAUUUUUCUUUUAGAUCGCAAUAUCCAUAUUCUAGGAUAGAUCCAAAAGCCGAAAAGCUUCAUAUUUUAGUGAUUCAGGAAUUAAUAUUUAGAUCUAUUUUCCACGCACGUUUAAGUUAGAUUCACAACGGAUCUGAGGUAGUAAGGUAUUUGGAACGUUCUUCAACGAGUAGAUCUCUUGUGAGGAUUAAAGGCUGCCGAUCGAGGAGUGUGUGAAAAGCUUGAAUCAUCGGAGUGACUAAAUCUUAGUCAUCAAUUUCGGUAAAGGAGAAAUCGCGAAGGAGAUCUCGUCAAGGAAUAUUGCAAAUCAGGUGUGUAAACGACACCCACUCCUAGACUAGAUCGGCAAAAGCUGAAAAGUCGAAAUGCCGAAAAGUCGGCAUCUUGUGAACUUGCGAGCGUGCGAGCACUCGUGAGGUGGUUUGUUUGUUAAAUUUUGGUAAUCACAAGCGGUAUAAAUGCAGAGUGCGCAAUUUCGUGCACUUCGGUAUAUUUGGGCUUAAUGGGCCGAAAAUAGGUUAGUGGGCUAACGAGCCCAAUUCGGUAAAAACGUUCGGUAAGUGUUUUUGUUAAUGCGUUAAUGGUUAUAAUAUGUAUGUAAACUCUAGAAUAGUAAAUUUUACUAAAAUACCCUUAAGUAUGGAAAUUACCAUUAUACCCCUGGGUGCAAAAUGACCGUUAUACCCCUAGGGUCAAUUUUGAUCGAAAUGCACGAUAUUCUGAUUCUGUUGUUGUAUGUCAUGACAUGUAUAUCUGUUGCAUGGGAUUUGGGUUAUGUUAUGGAGGAAGAACCCGUUCUGGUGGCUGUGCCACAUGUUCUGAUAUAAGCAGCUUUGUUGCGGAUUAUAGUUAGUGCCACAACCGGUGCUAACACUGUAAGUGUAGGGAUGGCCUGGGUGAUUUAUUCCCCACAUGAAGUGUUGGGAUGGAUGGAGGCAAGUGCAGGGUUGGAUGGGGUUAUCAUGCAUUAAUCAUAUGAGACUGUUUUAUUAUGGGUCAACUGUAUUGAAAUGGGCCCAACUGUGUUAAUAUGGGCAAGGCCCAAUAUAUCUCGACUUGUAAUAGGGCUACGGCCCAGAUUAAUACUGAUAUGGGCUAGGCCUAAUAUUCUCUGAUACUGUAAGAGGCUAUGGCCCAGAUUAAUAUUGAUAUAGGCUAAGGCCCAGUUAACACUGAUUUCUGAAUAGGGCUUAGGCCCAAUAAAGCUUGAAUUGAUUUGGGCUCUGGUUAGGAUACUUUACACACUGAGUUUUCCAAACUCACCCCCCUUUCUCUUUCAUCCUUGCAGGUGAGCCUUAGUUGGUAGACUUGGAGCUGGGAUGGAUUCAGAGUGGCCAUGAAGAUUAGCUUCAUUUUAAAUUUCGCAUUUAUUUUUUAUUAUUUCUAUUUUGGUUAAAGCUGUAAUAAGCCCGCUCUAUUAUUUUUAUUUUGGGUUUUUAAAUUACUUAAAUCGUUUUCAACUUGAGAUUCACAUCACUGAAAUUGAUUCCUUAAAAUUGGUUUGCUCUAGGGCACGUUUUAUAAAAGUUAUUUAUUU
This 3134-nucleotide long non-coding RNA is filed under the name Gossypium barbadense (sea-island cotton). Its description in RNAcentral is "long non-coding RNA (GBAR_LNC009609)". The record is from RNAcentral. Lineage: Eukaryota; Viridiplantae; Streptophyta; Magnoliopsida; Malvales; Malvaceae.